This 565-nucleotide ribosomal RNA is filed under the name Xixuthrus heros. RNAcentral describes it as "partial 28S ribosomal RNA". The record is from RNAcentral. Lineage: Eukaryota; Metazoa; Arthropoda; Insecta; Coleoptera; Cerambycidae.
GAGUUCAAGAGUACGUGAAACCGUUCAGGGGUAAACCUGAGAAACCCGAAAGGUCGAAAGGGGAAAUUCAUUCGCGUAUCGGCCGUCGGCGUUGAGCGUGUCGAGUGACGGAUGGCGUACGCGUCGUUCGCACCUUCCGUUCUUCGAACCGACGUCGAACGCGUGCACUUUUCCCCUAGUAGGACGUCGCGAUCCGUUGGGUGUCGGUCUAAGGCUCUCGCGGUGGAGCCCGCACGGUCGCUUUGCGGCGUGUACCGUGCGGACCCGCGGUGUCCCGGCCGACUCGCUCGACGGUAUACAGAUGGCGCGGGGCCGCUUUAUCCUUCUGCUACUUCACCGUAGCAGUAGUUAGCGUUCGGCACGUGGCAAGCGCAUUCGGUGUCUGACGGCGAUCGGACUUCGUGCCGGUCCUGUCCCCGAACGACUGUUGGCCACGUAGUUCUCGAACAGACCUCGCGUGUGUGUGCGUGUGCGUGCGCGUGAAUAACGUGCGCGCGCUCGUGCGCAUACCUAAACGCCGAUCUGCGACGCUAUAGCUUUGGGUACUUUCAGGACCCGUCUUGAA